This 58-nucleotide transfer RNA is filed under the name Stenotrophomonas sp. RNAcentral describes it as "tRNA-Ser". It matches the Rfam family "tRNA". Rfam says of the family: Transfer RNA (tRNA) molecules are approximately 80 nucleotides in length. Their secondary structure includes four short double-helical elements and three loops (D, anti-codon, and T loops). The record is from RNAcentral. Lineage: Bacteria; Pseudomonadati; Pseudomonadota; Gammaproteobacteria; Lysobacterales; Lysobacteraceae.
GCCGGAAUAGCUCAGUUGGUAGAGNNGGUCGCAGGUUCGACUCCUGUUUCCGGCACCA